GACGAACGCUGGCGGCGUGCUUAACACAUGCAAGUCGAACGGAAAGGCCCUUCGGGGUACUCGAGUGGCGAACGGGUGAGUAACACGUGGGUGAUCUGCCCUGCACUUUGGGAUAAGCCUGGGAAACUGGGUCUAAUACCGAAUAGGACCACGCGCUUCAUGGUGUGUGGUGGAAAGCUUUUGCGGUGUGGGAUGGGCCCGCGGCCUAUCAGCUUGUUGGUGGGGUAAUGGCCUACCAAGGCGACGACGGGUAGCCGGCCUGAGAGGGUGACCGGCCACACUGGGACUGAGAUACGGCCCAGACUCCUACGGGAGGCAGCAGUGGGGAAUAUUGCACAAUGGGCGCAAGCCUGAUGCAGCGACGCCGCGUGAGGGAUGACGGCCUUCGGGUUGUAAACCUCUUUCAAUAGGGACGAAGCGCAAGUGACGGUACCUAUAGAAGAAGCACCGGCCAACUACGUGCCAGCAGCCGCGGUAAUACGUAGGGUGCGAGCGUUGUCCGGAAUUACUGGGCGUAAAGAGCUCGUAGGUGGUUUGUCGCGUUGUUCGUGAAAACUCACAGCUUAACUGUGGGCGUGCGGGCGAUACGGGCAGACUAGAGUACUGCAGGGGAGACUGGAAUUCCUGGUGUAGCGGUGGAAUGCGCAGAUAUCAGGAGGAACACCGGUGGCGAAGGCGGGUCUCUGGGCAGUAACUGACGCUGAGGAGCGAAAGCGUGGGGAGCGAACAGGAUUAGAUACCCCGGUAGUCCACGCCGUAAACGGUGGGUACUAGGUGUGGGUUCCUUCCUUGGGAUCCGUGCCGUAGCUAACGCAUUAAGUACCCCGCCUGGGGAGUACGGCCGCAAGGCUAAAACUCAAAGGAAUUGACGGGGGCCCGCACAAGCGGCGGAGCAUGUGGAUUAAUUCGAUGCAACGCGAAGAACCUUACCUGGGUUUGACAUGCACAGGACGCCGGCAGAGAUGUCGGUUCCCUUGUGGCCUGUGUGCAGGUGGUGCAUGGCUGUCGUCAGCUCGUGUCGUGAGAUGUUGGGUUAAGUCCCGCAACGAGCGCAACCCUUGUCCUAUGUUGCCAGCGGGUUAUGCCGGGGACUCGUAGGAGACUGCCGGGGUCAACUCGGAGGAAGGUGGGGAUGACGUCAAGUCAUCAUGCCCCUUAUGUCCAGGGCUUCACACAUGCUACAAUGGCCGGUACAAAGGGCUGCGAUGCCGUGAGGUGGAGCGAAUCCUUUCAAAGCCGGUCUCAGUUCGGAUCGGGGUCUGCAACUCGACCCCGUGAAGUCGGAGUCGCUAGUAAUCGCAGAUCAGCAACGCUGCGGUGAAUACGUUCCCGGGCCU
This 1337-nucleotide ribosomal RNA is filed under the name uncultured bacterium. RNAcentral's name for it is "bacterial SSU rRNA". It matches the Rfam family "Bacterial small subunit ribosomal RNA", at positions 28 to 1381 of the family's 1533-position model. The record is from RNAcentral.